This 405-nucleotide ribosomal RNA is filed under the name uncultured prokaryote. RNAcentral's name for it is "bacterial SSU rRNA". It matches the Rfam family "Bacterial small subunit ribosomal RNA", at positions 355 to 774 of the family's 1533-position model. The record is from RNAcentral.
UGGGGGAUAUUGCACAAUGGGCGAAAGCCUGAUGCAGCAACGCCGCGUGAGGGAAGACGGUUUUCGGAUUGUAAACCUCUGUCUUCGGUGAAGAAACAAAUGACGGUAGCCGAGGAGGAAGCCACGGCUAACUACGUGCCAGCAGCCGCGGUAAUACGUAGGUGGCAAGCGUUGUCCGGAAUUACUGGGUGUAAAGGGAGCGCAGGCGGGGAGACAAGUCAGCUGUGAAAACUAUGGGCUUAACCCAUAAACUGCAGUUGAAACGGUUUGUCUUGAGUGGAGUAGAGCUAGGCGGAAUUCCGAGUGUAGCGGUGAAAUGCGUAGAUAUUCGGAGGAACACCAGUGGCGAAGGCGGCCUACCGGGCUCUAACUGACGCUGAGGCUCGAAAGUGUGGGGAGCAAACA